UACCAGCUCUUCGAGUGGUAGGGAUGAUUAUUGGGCUUAAAGCGUCCGUAGCCGGCUUAGCAAGUCUCCUGUUAAAUUCAGCGACCUAAUCGUUGAGCCGCGGGAGAUACUACUAGGCUAGGAGGCGGGAGAGGUCGACGGUACUUCCGGGGUAGGGGUGAAAUCCUAUAAUCCCGGGAGGACCACCAGUGGCGAAGGCUGUCGACUAGAACGCGCUCGACGGUGAGGGACGGAAGCUGGGGGAGCGAACCGGAUUAGAUACCCGGGUAGUCCCAGCUGUAAACGAUGCGGGCUAGGUGUUGGGGUGGCUACGGGCCACUUCAGUGCCGCAGGGAAACCAUUAAGCCCGCCGCCUGGGGAGUACGGCCGCAAGGCUGAAACUUAAAGGAAUUGGCGGGGGAGCACCACAAGGCGUGAAGCUUGCGGUUC
This 429-nucleotide ribosomal RNA is filed under the name uncultured archaeon. RNAcentral describes it as "bacterial SSU rRNA". It matches the Rfam family "Archaeal small subunit ribosomal RNA", at positions 474 to 903 of the family's 1478-position model. The record is from RNAcentral.